This 563-nucleotide ribosomal RNA is filed under the name Dothideomycetes sp. PVUPG 237. Its description in RNAcentral is "eukaryotic LSU rRNA". The stretch from base 187 to 340 matches the Rfam family "5.8S ribosomal RNA". Lineage: Eukaryota; Fungi; Ascomycota; Dothideomycetes. The record is from RNAcentral.
GGGGAUCAGAGUAAGGGUGCUCAGCGCCCGACCUCCAACCCUUUGUUGUUAAAACUACCUUGUUGCUUUGGCGGGACCGCUCGGUCUCGAGCCGCUGGGGAUUCGUCCCAGGCGAGCGCCCGCCAGAGUUAAACCAAACUCUUGUUAUUUAACCGGUCGUCUGAGUUAAAAUUUUGAAUAAAUCAAAACUUUCAACAACGGAUCUCUUGGUUCUCGCAUCGAUGAAGAACGCAGCGAAAUGCGAUAAGUAAUGUGAAUUGCAGAAUUCAGUGAAUCAUCGAAUCUUUGAACGCACAUUGCGCCCCUUGGUAUUCCGAGGGGCAUGCCUGUUCGAGCGUCAUUACACCACUCAAGCUAUGCUUGGUAUUGGGUGCCGUCCUUAGUUGGGCGCGCCUUAAAGACCUCGGCGAGGCCUCACCGGCUUUAGGCGUAGUAGAAUUUAUUCGAACGUCUGUCAAAGGAGAGGACUUCUGCCGACUGAAACCUUUAUUUUUCUAGGUUGACCUCGGAUCAGGUAGGGAUACCCGCUGAACUUAAGCAUAUCAAUAAGCGGAGGAAAGUAA